UACGUAGGGGGCUAGCGUUAUCCGGAAUUACUGGGCGUAAAGGGUGCGUAGGUGGUUUCUUAAGUCAGAGGUGAAAGGCUACGGCUCAACCGUAGUAAGCCUUUGAAACUGGGAAACUUGAGUGCGGGAGAGGAGAGUGGAAUUCCUAGUGUAGCGGUGAAAUGCGUAGAUAUUAGGAGGAACACCAGUAGCGAAGGCGGCUCUCUGGACUGUAACUGACGCUGAGGCACGAAAGCGUGGGGAGCAAACAGGAUUAGAUACCCUGGUAGUCCCUGAGCGGG
RNAcentral lists this ribosomal RNA (281 nucleotides) under uncultured prokaryote. RNAcentral describes it as "partial 16S ribosomal RNA". It matches the Rfam family "Bacterial small subunit ribosomal RNA", at positions 524 to 803 of the family's 1533-position model. The record is from RNAcentral.